GAUUUAUUGAAUAUUGGCUUGAUGGCAUGGAAUUUCAUGCAUCUUCCCUAACUGGGUUCUGCUAUAUGUUCAUCCGAGGAGGAGCUCAAUAAUCUUAUAAAAAAUUUGCAAUAACGCAUUCAACAUGAAAGUAUUCCUCUAAAUGAAGAGAAGUAAAUCAUAAUUCUCCUUCUAUUUCGUGUUUUAAUUUUUUAGAAUUGUUUAAAAAAAUAAAAUAAAAUAAAAUUUGUUUUUCCCCUUUUUUCUUGGGAGUUUUAUUAUGGUUUAUUUGGAGGGUCGGUACCUUGAACUUUACCAGCUAUCCCCUGCCUCUUGAAAAAAUAAGAGGUUCUCUUAUGUUGAAAAAAAAAAAAAAAAAGGUCGGUACCUUGAAUUUUACUGGCACUCCCCCUGCCACUUAAACAAACUAGACGUUUUUUUAUGUUUAAAAAAAAAAAAAACUUUGAAGGGUCGGUGCCUUAAACUUUAUCGGCUCUUUCCCUUGCCUCUUAAAAAAUUUAGGGGUUUCUUAUUUAAAAAAAAAAAAAAAAACUUUUGGAGGGUCGGUAUCUUCAACUUUAUCGGCUCUCCCCUUGCCCCUUGAAAAAAAUCAGAGGUUUAUUUUUAUUUCUUUGGAAGGUCGGUACCUUGAACUUUACCGACUUUUUCCAUAUUUUUCUAUUGUUUAAGCAAUUUAAAAUGUUUUUGCUAAACCUAAAACAUUAGUUUUUCUCAUACACUUUCUUCCUUAUUUUUCACCUUUAAAAGAAAAAAAGUAAAAAAAAGGAAAAAAGUCCAUCAAAAUAUUUUCUUCCAGUAAACAAGAAGACGCCUAUCUUCAUCAACAAUGACAAAGACAUCAAGUGCUUAGAGUUCAUUCUACAUCAGUUUGAAAGAUUUGAUUGGAUUGAUUUCUUCAAACUCAAAAUUCUAUACCAUAUUGAGUUCGAGGGGAAAGUGUUAAAGAUAGAAAUAUUGUCAAGAAUAUUUUCCAUAAUAUUUUUUCUUUUAAUGUAGGAUUAUUUUCUUUAUUAGUUGAUUGUAUAAUUAAUACAGAAUCUUUUCUUUUAAUGUUAUUUGUAACCCUAUAAAUAGGGUCUUCUAAAUUGUAAUAAAUAAGAGCUUACAUUAUAAUAUCACUCUUAUUUUUCUUAACAUGGUAUCAGAGUGGGUUCGAUUCUAAACAAAUCAACUUUUGAAUUUCGCUUCCGGUGAGUGGCCUUGUGCCGCUUGUCCGGUCAUUUUUUU
This 1227-nucleotide long non-coding RNA is filed under the name Olea europaea subsp. europaea. The record is from RNAcentral. Lineage: Eukaryota; Viridiplantae; Streptophyta; Magnoliopsida; Lamiales; Oleaceae.